GUGGGGAAUUGUUCGCAAUGGGCGCAAGCCUGACGACGCAACGCCGCGUGGAGGAUGAAGGUCUUCGGAUUGUAAACUCCUGUUGACCGGGACGAAUGAGCAUCGACCUAACACGUCGGAGCAGUGACGGUACCGGUUGAGGAAGCCACGGCUAACUCUGUGCCAGCAGCCGCGGUAAUACAGAGGUGGCAAGCGUUGUUCGGAAUUACUGGGCGUAAAGGGCGCGUAGGCGGCCUUCUAAGUCAGACGUGAAAUCCCCAGGCUUAACUUGGGAACUGCGUCUGAUACUGGGAGGCUUGAGUGCGGGAGAGGGAUGUGGAAUUCCAGGUGUAGCGGUGAAAUGCGUAGAUAUCUGGAGGAACACCGGUGGCGAAGGCGGCAUCCUGGACCGACACUGACGCUGAGGCGCGAAAGCCAGGGGAGCAAACGGGAUUAGAUACCCGUGUAGUCC
This 451-nucleotide ribosomal RNA is filed under the name uncultured bacterium. Its description in RNAcentral is "bacterial SSU rRNA". It matches the Rfam family "Bacterial small subunit ribosomal RNA", at positions 354 to 796 of the family's 1533-position model. The record is from RNAcentral.